UAACGGUUUGAGCGAACUCUCUCGCUGAA
This 29-nucleotide non-coding RNA is filed under the name Mus musculus (house mouse). The record is from RNAcentral. Lineage: Eukaryota; Metazoa; Chordata; Mammalia; Rodentia; Muridae.